RNAcentral lists this long non-coding RNA (2655 nucleotides) under Sus scrofa (pig). Its description in RNAcentral is "lncRNA (ENSSSCG00040068956.1)". The record is from RNAcentral. Lineage: Eukaryota; Metazoa; Chordata; Mammalia; Artiodactyla; Suidae.
UUUUUUUUGUCUUUUCUGAGGCCACACCUGCAGCAUAUGGAGGUUCCCAGGCUAGGGGUCGAAUCGGAGCUGUAGCCUCUGGCCUAUGCCAGAGCCAUAGCAAUGAGGCAUCCGAGCCAUAUCUGCGACCUACACCACAGCUCACGGCAACGCCGGAUCCUUCACCCACUGAGCAAGGCCAGGGAUGGAACCCGCAGUCUCAUGGUUGCUAGUCGGAUUCGUUAACCACUGAGCCAUGACGGGAACUCCCUAGUUUUCUUUUAAAACCCUUAAAAAGUGGCAGAAGUUCCAUCUAUGACAAAUCCUCUCCCCAAGAAACACGUAGAAAGCUGACAGAAUGGUCAGAAACAAGCAUUUCAGAGCUCCAAAAAUUGGCCAAAGGCAAACGACAAAUAGAGAAGCAGUGAUACAUGAAGAGCUCCCAGAACGUCAGGAAAGAACUUAGGGAGACCAUGGCCUGCCUGCCUGGGCUGCUCCCAUCCCCACUGCUUGGAUCAGGAGGCAAGAAUAGCAGCUGAACAAGUAUGGGGCUAGACUGAAAACCAGCAGGCCACUGUCCGAGAGGGUUGACUUGAUUUGGAGCAGAGCUGAAAACCCAUUCCCAGCAGGGUUCUCAGUAAAAGUAGUGAACUCAGUACGAAAUAACAGGAAAAGCCACAGCCCUGCUCGCCUUAGGUUCUGAGGCAGAUGGAAAGCCGGGUGGGAGUUUAACAAGGAGAGGGUCCUGGAAAUGAGAUCGCCUUAGCAGUAUAAGAAAAGCUGCCCACACGUCUCUGCCUGACUGGGAAAAGUACAAGUAUGGGCAGGGAGACCGAAAGAUCCCAGUGGAGAGUAAAAGGUGAGGCGGACUUUAAAACCGCCUGAGCUCUUCGAAUGUGCUCCCGACACCCACACGCCUUCACUGGCACAGAGGGGCAGCCAAACAGCUUGAAGGGCCUGAGCACAACCUCUGUCCAAGCACUGCCUCAGUCUUACGUUACCCACACAGAGCAGUGACACCUAUAUAUGUAGGAUAAAAAUUUAAAUUAGGGGAAAAAGGAGCAGACAGAGAAGCAACCACACAAACUCUUUAACAUUUAUAGGACAUUCUACUCAAAAACAAUAUAAUGUACAUUUUUCUUCAAGUAUAUAUGAAUGUUCCUCAGAAGAGACCAUGUCCUACUCCACAGAAGAAGUAUCAAGAAAUUUUAAAGUACCUAAUGAGGAGUUCCCCUUGUGGCUCUGUGGUAAUGAACCCAACUGGUAUCCAUGAGGAUGUAGGUUUGAUCCUCAUGGAUACUAAUCGGGUUCAUUACUCUGAGCCACAAUGGGAACUCCUGUUGCUACUCAUUUUAUUGUGUGUCCACAUGAGUGCAGACUCAUGAUGGCAGAGUUUAUGUCUCUUCUGAACAUCAUUGUACAUCCACAGUGUUGACCAUACUAUGUGCUCAAUAAAAGCUUGCCUAAAAAAAAAAGAGAGAAGAGGGAAGGAAGGGUAGGAGAGAUACAGAAAGUUGCAUUCUCACAGUUCAGCAUGGGUAAUUUCAUGUCCCAGACUUAGGUCAUCAUAACCAUUUGAGAUGCUACCGUGGAAUUCUGUCCAGAUUUCUGGUUUGGGUACAUAGGAAUUCACCUGAAAUUCUAGACUUUCAUCUACAGUACCUAGGUAUUCCAGCGUUGCUUUCUGCUCAAUUAUCAAGAUUCUCUAGCUUGCUCUUUACUUCUGGCAGAAGGAAAGGUCCCAGAUUGCAAAAUCCAACCACUUGUUUCUACCCCACUUAUCAAAUGAUGGCUAUUGCUGGCCUAGAUUUGAAAGAUGGAUCCCACUGAUCUGAAAUAUUCAGAAUAGGUAAAUCCAAGGAGAUGGAAAGCAUAUACUACUGGUUGCCUAAGUCUGAUACUUGGUUGCAGGGGCUGGGAGGUAGGAGAAACAGGAAGGGACUGCUUAACAGAUACAAGGAUUCCUCCGGGGUGAAGAAAAAGUUAUGGAAUUAGCUUGUUCUGAUGGUCGCACAGCAAGGUGAAUAGACUAAGUGCCCUUGAACUGUGCCCACUUUAAAAUGGUUAAGUUGGUGAUUUAAAAACCCUUAUUAUUUAUAAAUUUUGCCACAAUAAACUGAUGCCAUGCGCUUUCCUUUUACUUAUUCAAAAAAAUAAGAGACCAGUAUAAUUGAAGACAACAUAAUCCUUAACAUCAUUUGUUAGAUACAAAAAUCUGGUCCUAAAUGGAUAAUAAACAACACAAUGCUUGGGGGAAACUUCUAUUUUCCCAUUUCCAGUUGAUUUCAUGAGGCGGGAGGUUACUACUCUUCCCUUAAUUCUACUAUAGCUAAAAUUCGACUUGUGCUUCCUCUGUGCCUUAAUUUUUAUUUAAUGCUUUUUAAAUUAAAUACUGUUAUUUAAGUAAUGAUACAUUUUGAAAUGUAUCUUGCAACAACUAAUCAACGUAAUUAUCCAAAAGGUUGUCCAUAGGAUAAGAGUUUGAAGCAAAGUUACUAUUAAAAUGCAAAACCUAGCAUAAAUUCCUGCUAUAACAUAAUUCUUUAUUUUAUAUGCAUCCAAUCCAAAAGCCGCUCUGCAAUAGUGUUUAGCCUUUGUACCUCUCCAAAGCGUUAGCAUUUGUAUGCAUCUAGCUGGCGUGCUUUCCUCACUUCUCCACUGCACACAUCCUUUCUG